AUUGAACGCUGGCGGCAUGCUUUACACAUGCAAGUCGAACGGCAGCGCGGGCUUCGGCCUGGCUGCGAGUGUCGAAAGGGUGAGUAAUACACCUGAACGUGCCCCGUCGUAGUGGAUAGCCCCGCGAAAGCCGGGUUAAUACCGCAUACGACCUGAGGGUGAAAGCGGGGGACCGAAAGGACUCACGCUAUUGGAGCGGCCGGUGUGGGAUUUGCCAGCUGGUCGGGGAAAGGCUUACCCAGCCGGGGAACCGUAGCUGGCCUGAGAGGACGACCGGCCGCCUUGGAACUUGGCCACGCACCAGGCUCCUACGGGAGGCAGCAGUGGGGUAUGUUGGACAGUGGGGGCGAACAUUAUACAGCCAUGCCGCGUGCGGUACGACGGCGCUCGGGUUGUAAAGCCCUUUUGCUCGGGAAGAAACUCUCUGGGCUAAGACCACGGGAGGAUGACGGUACCGGCAGAAUAAGCACCGGCUAACUACGUG
This 484-nucleotide ribosomal RNA is filed under the name uncultured bacterium. RNAcentral's name for it is "partial 16S ribosomal RNA". It matches the Rfam family "Bacterial small subunit ribosomal RNA", at positions 28 to 507 of the family's 1533-position model. The record is from RNAcentral.